CCUACGGGUGGCAGCAGUGAGGAAUAUUGGUCAAUGGGCGCGAGCCUGAACCAGCCAAGUAGCGUGAAGGAUGAAUGCCCUACGGGUUGUAAACUUCUUUUAUAGAGGAAUAAAGUGAGGCACGUGUGCCUUUUUGUAUGUACUUUAUGAAUAAGGAUCGGCUAACUCCGUGCCAGCAGCCGCGGUAAUACGGAGGAUCCGAGCGUUAUCCGGAUUUCUUGGGUUUAAAGGGAGCGUAGAUGGGUUGUUAAGUCAGUUGUGAAAGUUUGCGGCUCAACCGUAAAAUUGCAAUUGAUACUGGCAGCCUUGAGUACAGGUGAGGGAGGCGGAAUUCGUGGUGUAGCGGUGAAAUGCGUAGAUAUAACGAAGAACGCCGAUUGCGAAGGCAGCCUACUAAACUGCCACUGACAUUGAUGCUCGAAAGUGUGGGUAUCAAACAGGAUUAGAUACCCCAGUAGUC
Molecule: ribosomal RNA, 460 nt
Filed under: uncultured bacterium
Lineage: Bacteria
Description: partial 16S ribosomal RNA
Rfam family: Bacterial small subunit ribosomal RNA
Source: RNAcentral